This 253-nucleotide ribosomal RNA is filed under the name uncultured bacterium. RNAcentral describes it as "partial 16S ribosomal RNA". It matches the Rfam family "Bacterial small subunit ribosomal RNA", at positions 524 to 776 of the family's 1533-position model. The record is from RNAcentral.
UACGGAGGGUGCAAGCGUUAAUCGGAAUAACUGGGCGUAAAGCGCACGCAGGCGGGCUAUUAAGUGAGAUGUAAAAGCCCCGGGCUUAACCUGGGAAUAGCAUUUCAAACUGGGAGUCUAGAGUACUGUAGGGAGGGGUAGAAUUCCAUGUGUAGCGGUGAAAUGCGUAGAGAUGUGGAGGAAUACCGGUGGCGAAGGCAGCCCCUUGGACAUGUACUGACGCUCAGGUGCGAAAGCGUGGGGAGCAAACAGG